Molecule: ribosomal RNA, 118 nt
Filed under: Oncorhynchus mykiss (rainbow trout)
Lineage: Eukaryota; Metazoa; Chordata; Actinopteri; Salmoniformes; Salmonidae
Source: RNAcentral
GCUUACGGCCACACCGGCCUGAGUACGCCUGAUCUCGUCCGAUCUCGGAAGCUAAGCAGGGUCGGGCCUGGUUAGUACUUGGAUGGGAGACCGCCUGGGAAUCCAGGUGCUGUAAGCU